RNAcentral lists this ribosomal RNA (298 nucleotides) under uncultured bacterium. Its description in RNAcentral is "partial 16S ribosomal RNA". It matches the Rfam family "Bacterial small subunit ribosomal RNA", at positions 30 to 334 of the family's 1533-position model. The record is from RNAcentral.
AUUGAACGCUGGCGGCAGGCUUAACACAUGCAAGUCGAGCGAGAAAGCACUUCGGUGCGAGUAUAGCGGCGGACGGGUGAGUAACGCGUAGGAAUCUACCCAGUAGCGGGGGACAACAUGUGGAAACGCAUGCUAAUACCGCAUACGCCCUAAGGGGGAAAGGGGGCUCUUUGAGCUCUCACUAUUGGAUGAGCCUGCGUAAGAUUAGCUAGUUGGUGAGGUAAUGGCUCACCAAGGCGACGAUCUUUAGCUGGUCUGAGAGGAUGAUCAGUCACACUGGAACUGAGACACGGUCCAG